CCAACGGGCGGAAGGACCGCGAGCCUCUGCGGCUGGCGCCCUCUGGGGAGUCGCUGCGCCGGACUGGGCUGUGGUGGGAGCUCCCUGCGGGCCUCCGUCGUGUCUUUGCAUACGCAGGAAUCUCCCGGAACCCUUGAGGGCUGUCAUGCCCACCUGCUGCCGCUCGUUCCUGGCUGCUGGCAAAGACCGCUGUAGCCCACUUGGGUAUGUGAUAUACUUGACCUGGGAAGGACAGAAGGUUUGACUGUGCAGAUCCCUCAUCCAGACUAGAGCAUCUGCACCAGGUGUGAUGACAGCAUCCUCUGCAAGUUGUAAAAGUUGCACAGUGAUGGUCCCGAGGGAGGAGGCUCCUGGCUCUGGUUCAGGGCUGAAGUGUCUUCAUUUGCUUGACCUUUGUCUUAUGGUUACAAAUGGCGACUAGAACUUCAGGCAAGAGCUACACAUUCUCGGCCUCAAGAAGGAGAUGGCAGGAAAAGGACAAAAAGGGUUUUGUCAUUGGUUUUAGCCAAUGACUUCUUUUUAUAUCCUAUCCAAAAAGCUACUAGAAACAAACAAGAUUGCCUACAGUAUAAGAUAGGAUGCAUCUGGGUCCAAACAACAGAAGACUCAGUUGAAAGAAAAUUUUAAAAAAUGAGGAAAAUUCGGGGCUGGCCCUGUGGCCGAGUGGUUAAGUUCGCGCGCUCCGCUGCAGGCGGCCCAGUGUUUCGUUAGUUGGAAUCCU
Long non-coding RNA from Equus caballus (horse), 721 nucleotides. RefSeq lists it as uncharacterized. The record is from RefSeq and is a predicted model, not a curated record. NCBI's taxonomy places the organism in Eukaryota, Metazoa, Chordata, Mammalia, Perissodactyla, Equidae.